CUUUCCCUCUUUCUUUAGGCCUAACACAUGCAAGUCGAACGGCAGCACAGUAAGAGCUUGCUCUUACGGGUGGCGAGUGGCGGACGGGUGAGGAAUACAUCGGAAUCUACUUUUUCGUGGGGGAUAACGUAGGGAAACUUACGCUAAUACCGCAUACGACCUACGGGUGAAAGCAGGGGAUCUUCGGACCUUGCGCGAUUGAAUGAGCCGAUGUCGGAUUAGCUAGUUGGCGGGGUAAAGGCCCACCAAGGCGACGAUCCGUAGCUGGUCUGAGAGGAUGAUCAGCCACACUGGAACUGAGACACGGUCCAGACUCCUACGGGAGGCAGCAGUGGGGAAUAUUGGACAAUGGGCGCAAGCCUGAUCCAGCCAGACCGCGUGGGUGAAGAAGGCCUGCGGGUUGUAAAGCCCUUUUGUUGGGAAAGAAAAGCAGCAGGUUAAUACCCCGCUGUUCUGACGGUACCCAAAGAAUAAGCACCGGCUAACUGCGU
RNAcentral lists this ribosomal RNA (491 nucleotides) under uncultured bacterium. Its description in RNAcentral is "partial 16S ribosomal RNA". It matches the Rfam family "Bacterial small subunit ribosomal RNA", at positions 36 to 506 of the family's 1533-position model. The record is from RNAcentral.